RNAcentral lists this ribosomal RNA (253 nucleotides) under uncultured bacterium. RNAcentral describes it as "partial 16S ribosomal RNA". It matches the Rfam family "Bacterial small subunit ribosomal RNA", at positions 524 to 776 of the family's 1533-position model. The record is from RNAcentral.
UACGAGAGGUCCAAACGUUAUUCGGAAUCACUGGGCUUACAGAGUUCGUAGGCGGUACGGAAAGUGGGGUGUGAAAGCCCUCGGCUCAACCGAGGAACUGCGCUCCAAGCUACCGUGCUAGAGGAAGAUAGAGGUGAGCAGAACUGAUGGUGGAGCGGUGAAAUGCGUUGAUAUCAUCAGGAAUACCGGAGGCGAAGGCGGCUCACUGGGUCUUUUCUGACGCUGAGGAACGAAAGCUAGGGGAGCAAACGGG